This 383-nucleotide long non-coding RNA is filed under the name Olea europaea (common olive). RNAcentral's name for it is "long non-coding RNA (OEUR_LNC004587)". Lineage: Eukaryota; Viridiplantae; Streptophyta; Magnoliopsida; Lamiales; Oleaceae. The record is from RNAcentral.
GGACCUCCCCCGUCUAAUGUUCCUCAAAUCUUGGAAAAUAAGUGUAAAAUUUUUGAAACGCCAGGGACUUCUUCUCACCUGCUAUGCAUCAGCUGUAAGGACUUUGGCCACAUCUCUUCCAAAUGUCCUAACCGAGCCUUAGUCAUAGAAGAACGAAAGGUCGUUAGAAGAUCUAGUCUAUGAGUAUAAACUUGAAGAUUUUGAUGACGUGGAUGAUAGUGAGGACACUUCCUUAAGUGGAAUCCCGACCCUUCCCGAGACUUUAGAAACUAUACCCCUUGUUUUCGACAACUCUCGAUCACAUGUUAUAUGUCAUACCCUUACCCAACUCAAAGAGUUUGAUGAUUUCACUAGUCACCCUUGGAGAAUCCAGUCGCCUGUUC